This 722-nucleotide ribosomal RNA is filed under the name uncultured Lactobacillus sp. Its description in RNAcentral is "bacterial SSU rRNA". It matches the Rfam family "Bacterial small subunit ribosomal RNA", at positions 58 to 747 of the family's 1533-position model. Lineage: Bacteria; Bacillati; Bacillota; Bacilli; Lactobacillales; Lactobacillaceae. The record is from RNAcentral.
CAAGUCGAACGAAACUUUUUUAUCACCGAGUGCUUGCAUUCACCGAUAAAGAGUUGAGUGGCGAACGGGUGAGUAACACGUGGGCAACCUGCCCAAAAGAGGGGGAUAACACUUGGAAACAGGUGCUAAUACCGCAUAACCAUAGUUACCGCAUGGUAACUAUGUAAAAGGUGGCUAUGCUACCGCUUUUGGAUGGGCCCGCGGUGCAUUAGCUAGUUGGUGGGGUAAAGGCUUACCAAGGCAAUGAUGCGUAGCCGAACUGAGAGGUUGAUCGGCCACAUUGGGACUGAGACACGGCCCAAACUCCUACGGGAGGCAGCAGUAGGGAAUCUUCCACAAUGGGCGAAAGCCUGAUGGAGCAACGCCGCGUGGGUGAAGAAGGUCUUCGGAUCGUAAAACCCUGUUGUUAGAGAAGAAAGUGCGUGAGAGUAACUGUUCACGUUUCGACGGUAUCUAACCAGAAAGCCACGGCUAACUACGUGCCAGCAGCCGCGGUAAUACGUAGGUGGCAAGCGUUAUCCGGAUUUAUUGGGCGUAAAGGGAACGCAGGCGGUCUUUUAAGUCUGAUGUGAAAGCCUUCGGCUUAACCGGAGUAGUGCAUUGGAAACUGGGAGACUUGAGUGCAGAAGAGGAGAGUGGAACUCCAUGUGUAGCGGUGAAAUGCGUAGAUAUAUGGAAGAACACCAGUGGCGAAAGCGGCUCUCUGGUCUGUAACUGACGCU